Molecule: long non-coding RNA, 1895 nt
Organism: Micropterus dolomieu (smallmouth bass)
Lineage: Eukaryota; Metazoa; Chordata; Actinopteri; Centrarchiformes; Centrarchidae
Exons: 3
Source: RefSeq, a predicted model, not a curated record
GUCGGUUGGAGCUACGUUUGGCAUUUAGAGAGCCAGUAUUACUUUUAUCUAAUGUAAAAAGUUUUAUUUGUUAUGUCAGCAUUUAGCAUAAAUGUUGUUAGACAGAAGGAUAAUUAGCAUACAUCAAUUCCGGUUCACACAUACUGUUAGCACCACUUAAACCUGCAGUAACUGAUUUAUUUUGUAACAACAACACAACAUUGACAUAACUUUUAAGUUGAUAUGGCGAACUUGUUAGCAGACGGUUUCUUAUUUACACAUCCAGCAUUUAAGGAGCAACAUUAUCAUCCAUUUGGAGUCAUGUUCAUGUCCACCUGAUGAAUGGAUUUCAAAGAGCCAGCCAGGUUGCUGUGGUUACAAAAAAAGGACGUCUGGGCCCGCAGCACUGAACAGUGUCGGGGUCAUGGAAGCUCCCAAGUGACCAGCGGCAGGAGCAACAGCCAUCGGCCCCCGCUGAGCAUCAGUAAUUAGAGCCCUCCUCCCCCUCCUCCGAGCCGGGGAAGCUCUCGCCCUCCUCCUGAAGGGCAAGCGGGCAGAGAGGAGGAACAGCUGCUGAUGGGAAACCACUCUCCGGUUCCCAUGAAUGACCAGCGUCCCUCCGUCCUCCUCAGAGGAUGUGCAGCAGCAUCUUUGAUGGCGAUGAUGGAGGCUUGGACCAGACAUAUUAUAGGACCAUAGGCUGUCUGGUUUCUCAUGGCUCUUUCUUUUUGUUUGUUAUCACCAUUCCUAUGACUCAUUGGUGAUUUAUUCAUCUGUUGAUGGUUUAUUAUUAUUACUGAGAGAAUGUCUGAAUUUGAAAAGCAGUAUUGCAAGACUCACACAUGCAUAAGAUGAACAAUAAAUUACAAUAAGUGGACUAUAACAUUAGCAUGGUCUGUAAUAAAUACAACCUUUAUGAAGCAUAUAAUGGCCACUUUAAUUAAAAAUGAAAGUAUCUACUGGCCAAUAUAAUGGUCAGCUCAGGGAUGGUGACAAAAUAUUAGGUACACCCAGUGGUGGAAGAAGUAUUUAGAUCCUUUACUCAAGUCAAAGUACCAAUACACAAUGCAAUUUAAUACUCCAUCACAAGUAUUCAAGACCUGCAUUCAAAGUCAGUAUCAUCAGCAUCAUCAAAUUAUAGUUUAAGGAUCAAAAGUAAAAGUGCUUGCUCUUCAGAAAAAUAUCACCUGUGACUGAUUAAUUAAUAUGUUGCUUUUAAAAUAGAUGGAACAAUUUCUAGGGUGAUCAAUCUUUAAAAUUCUUUCUUUUUUUUUUCUUCUUUUUCCCAAAUGAAUAAUUUUUCCUCUUAAGCUCUCAAAAAAGAAAUUAAACCUUGUGAGAGGUUUAGAGGGUAAAUGUCUCCUGGAUGGAACUGAUAACAACACUUAAAACAUCUGAUAUGUGGCAAAGGGCCCAAACCAGUCUCCCUUUGUAAACCAAAUGGUUGGGAAUCUGGUUUAAAACAGUGAUGACAUCUGUGAAAUAAAUGUAGUGGAGUUACAAGUUCAAUAUUUCCCUCUGAAAUGCAGUAGAGUAGAAGUAUAAGGAAGUAACAUAAAAUGGAAAAACUGUAACACAUAUACUAAAGUGUAAGUACCUCAAAAAUUGUACUGUUCUUUUACAGUAAAUAUGCUUUCCACCUCUGGGUACACCUAACAAUACAAAAAUGGAUUCCAAAAUAACAAUUCAACAUGAACUGAUCUUUAUAUUGGAGGACUGAUGUUGUGCUGUCCCAUGUUGUCCACUCCCUGAAUAUUACAUGCAGCUAUAUUUCAUAAGAACUAGAACUCAACAUUACAUCUUACUGAUUGUUUCUGGGCUAGAGCUGCUAGUAUAAUACUAUAUGUGGCUGUCCAUGUCCUGACUUUAAUAUUCACAGCAAUAAAAUGCAUCAACAACCUGUUUUUAUUAGCUUU